UUGGUUAAGUUAGAAAGGGCGCACGGUGGAUGCCUUGGCACUAGGAGCCGAAGAAGGACGGGACUAACACCGAUAUGCUUUGGGGAGCUGUACGUAAGCGUUGAUCCAGAGAUUUCCGAAUGGGGGAACCCACUAUCUUUAGUCGGAUAGUAUCCUUACGUGAAUACAUAGCGUGAGGAAGGCAGACCCAGGGAACUGAAACAUCUAAGUACCUGGAGGAAGAGAAAGAAAAAUCGAUUUCCUGAGUAGCGGCGAGCGAAACGGAAAGAGCCCAAACCAAGAAGCUUGCUUCUUGGGGUUGUAGGACACUCUAUACGGAGUUACAAAAGAAAGUUAUAAAUGAAGCGGUCUGGAAAGGCCCGCCAAAGACGGUAACAGCCCGGUAGUUGAAAUGGCUUUCCCUCCAGAGUGGAUCCUGAGUACGGCGGAACACGUGAAAUUCCGUCGGAAUCCGGGAGGACCAUCUCCCAAGGCUAAAUACUCCCUAGUGACCGAUAGUGAACCAGUACCGUGAGGGAAAGGUGAAAAGCACCCCGGAAGGGGAGUGAAACAGUUCCUGAAACCGUGUGCCUACAAGUAGUUAGAGCCCGUUAAUGGGUGAUAGCGUGCCUUUUGUAGAAUGAACCGGCGAGUUACGAUUUGUUGCAAGGUUAAGCGGAAAAAGCGGAGCCGUAGCGAAAGCGAGUCUGAAUAGGGCGCAUAAGUAACAGGUCGUAGACCCGAAACCAGGUGAUCUACCCAUGUCCAGGAUGAAGGUAAGGUAAUACUUACUGGAGGUCCGAACCCACGCACGUUGAAAAGUGCGGGGAUGAGGUGUGGGUAGCGGAGAAAUUCCAAUCGAACUUGGAGAUAGCUGGUUCUCUCCGAAAUAGCUUUAGGGCUAGCCUCGAGGUAAAGAGUCAUGGAGGUAGAGCACUGUUUGGA
This 924-nucleotide ribosomal RNA is filed under the name Listeria monocytogenes. RNAcentral's name for it is "bacterial LSU rRNA". It matches the Rfam family "Bacterial large subunit ribosomal RNA", at positions 1 to 918 of the family's 2925-position model. The record is from RNAcentral. Lineage: Bacteria; Bacillati; Bacillota; Bacilli; Caryophanales; Listeriaceae.